RNAcentral lists this ribosomal RNA (265 nucleotides) under uncultured bacterium. RNAcentral's name for it is "partial 16S ribosomal RNA". It matches the Rfam family "Bacterial small subunit ribosomal RNA", at positions 793 to 1055 of the family's 1533-position model. The record is from RNAcentral.
GUCCACGCCGUAAACGAUGAGUGCUAGGUGCUGUGGGUAUUGACCCCUGCGGUGCCGCAGCUAACGCGUUAAGCACUCCGCCUGGGGAGUACGGCCGCAAGGCUAAAACUCAAAGGAAUUGACGGGGGCCCGCACAAGCGGUGGAGCAUGUGGUUCAAUUCGACGCAACGCGCAGAACCUUACCUGGGUUAAAUACACUCGAACUUAACAGAGAUGUUUUGGUGCCCUUCGGGGAGCGAGUGAGAAGGUGCUGCAUGGCUGUCGU